UUUCCGGUUGAUCCUGCCGGAGGCCAUUGCUAUCGGAGUCCGAUUUAGCCAUGCUAGUCGUGCGAGUUCAGACUCGCGGCACCGAGCUCAGUAACACGUGGCCAAACUACCCUACAGAGACGGAUACCCUCGGGAAACUGAGGUUAACCCGUCAUACCGAUCUCAGGCUUGAAUCGCAGAGAUCACAAAACGCCCCGGCGCUGUAGGAUGUGGCUGCGGUUGAUUAGGUAGACGGUGGGGUAACGGCCCACCGUGCCCAUAAUCAGUACAGGUUGUGAGAGCAAGAACCUGGAGACGGAAUCUGAGACAAGAUUCCGGGCCCUACGGGGCGCAGCAGGCGCGAAACCUUUACACUGCACGCACGUGCGAUAAGGGGACUCCGAGUGCGAGGGCAUAUCGUCCUCGCUUUCGUGUACCGUAGGGUGGUACACCAACAAGGGCUGGGCAAGACCGGUGCCAGCCGCCGCGGUAAUACCGGCAGCCCGAGUGAUGGCCGAUCUUAUUGGGCCUAAAGCGUCCGUAGCUGGCUGCGCAAGUCCGUCGGGAAAUCCACUCGCCCAACGAGUGGGCGUCCGACGGAAACUGCACAGCUUGGGACCGGAAGGCUCAGAGGGUACGUCCGGGGUAGGAGUGAAAUCCCGUAAUCCCGGACGGACCACCGAUGGCGAAAGCACUUCGAGAAAACGGAUCCGACAGUGAGGGACGAAAGCCAGGGUCUCCAACCGGAUUAGAUACCCGGGUAGUCCUGGCCGUAAACAAUGUUCGCUAGGUAUGACACAGACUACGUGUCUCUGUUGUGCCGUAGGGAAGCCGAGAAGCGAACCGCCUGGGAAGUACGUCUGCAAGGAUGAAACUUAAAGGAAUUGGCGGGGGAGCACUACAACCGGAGGAGCCUGCGGUUUAAUUGGAUUCUCGCCGGAA
This 921-nucleotide ribosomal RNA is filed under the name uncultured archaeon. RNAcentral describes it as "bacterial SSU rRNA". It matches the Rfam family "Archaeal small subunit ribosomal RNA", at positions 1 to 923 of the family's 1478-position model. The record is from RNAcentral.